RNAcentral lists this transfer RNA (73 nucleotides) under bacterium. RNAcentral describes it as "tRNA-His". It matches the Rfam family "tRNA". From Rfam's summary of the family: Transfer RNA (tRNA) molecules are approximately 80 nucleotides in length. RNAcentral also lists the same sequence under 1 other name. The record is from RNAcentral.
GUGAGUGUAGCUCAGUUGGCAGAGCACCAGGUUGUGGCCCUGGUGGCCGUGGGUUCAAGUCCCAUCACUCACC